CAGCCGCCGCGGUAAUACCGGCGGCCCGAGUGGCGGUCACUAUUAUUGGGCUUAAAGCGUCCGUAGCCGGGUUGGGAAGUCCUCCGGGAAAUCUGGCCGCUUAACGGUCAGAAUGCCGGAGGAUACUCCCAGCCUAGGGAGCGGGAGAGGCCGAGGUAUUCCCGGAGUAGGGGUGAAAUCCUAUAAUCCCGGGAGGACCACCUGUGGCGAAGGCGCUCGGCUGGAACGCGUCCGACGGUGAGGGACGAAGGCCAGGGGAGCAAACCGGAUUAGAUACCCGGGUAGUCCUGGCUGUAAACGAUGCGGACUUUGUGUCGGACAAGCUAUGAGCUUGUCCGGUGCCGGAGGGAAACCGUUAAGUCCGCCGCCUGGGGAGUACGGCCGCAAGGCUGAAACUUAAAGGAAUUGGCGGG
RNAcentral lists this ribosomal RNA (413 nucleotides) under uncultured microorganism. RNAcentral describes it as "bacterial SSU rRNA". It matches the Rfam family "Archaeal small subunit ribosomal RNA", at positions 459 to 872 of the family's 1478-position model. The record is from RNAcentral.